CGGGACGGGUGAGUAAUGUCUGGGAAACUGCCCGAUGGAGGGGGAUAACUACUGGAAACGGUAGCUAAUACCGCAUAAUGUCGCAAGACCAAAGAGGGGGACCUUAGGGCCUCUUGCCAUCGGAUGUGCCCAGAUGGGAUUAGCUAGUAGGUGGGGUAACGGCUCACCUAGGCGACGAUCCCUAGCUGGUCUGAGAGGAUGACCAGCCACACUGGAACUGAGACACGGUCCAG
Molecule: ribosomal RNA, 233 nt
Filed under: uncultured bacterium
Lineage: Bacteria
Description: partial 16S ribosomal RNA
Rfam family: Bacterial small subunit ribosomal RNA
Source: RNAcentral